AAGUCGUAACAAGGUUUCCGUAGGUGAACCUGCGGAAGGAUCAUUAUCAAUUAAUAUCCAAAACCUGGGUACUCUCCUUCACGGGAGGGUACUCUAAACCAAACGUGAACUGUUUUUGCCUCUGGUUGACGUUGAUGUAAAAGGGUUUAAAAAUUCUUUUUUUUCCCUUGUCAAUCAGAGUGUAUUAUUAAUUACAUCACUCUUUAACCAAUUGAACCGUUAUUAUAUUAUUGAAUUGUUGAACUGAAUUUUGUUUCUUACCGAGGAUUGUAAAAAAAUCUUUGGAAGAAAACAUAAUUUUACGAAACAAUUAAAUAUAACUCUUAGCAACGGAUAUCUUGGUUCUC
This 347-nucleotide unclassified non-coding RNA is filed under the name fungal sp. RNAcentral describes it as "partial internal transcribed spacer region". The stretch from base 1 to 46 matches the Rfam family "Eukaryotic small subunit ribosomal RNA", at positions 1786 to 1831 of the family's 1831-position model. RNAcentral also lists the same sequence under 1 other name. The record is from RNAcentral. Lineage: Eukaryota; Fungi.